This 350-nucleotide ribosomal RNA is filed under the name uncultured bacterium. Its description in RNAcentral is "bacterial SSU rRNA". It matches the Rfam family "Bacterial small subunit ribosomal RNA", at positions 8 to 350 of the family's 1533-position model. The record is from RNAcentral.
AGAGUUUGAUCCUGGCUCAGGAUGAACGCUAGCUACAGGCUUAACACAUGCAAGUCGAGGGGAAACGACAUCGAAAGCUUGCUUUUGAUGGGCGUCGACCGGCGCACGGGUGAGUAACGCGUAUCCAACCUGCCCACCACUUGGGGAUAACCUUGCGAAAGUAAGACUAGUACCCAAUGACGUCUCUAGAAGACAUCUGAAAGAGAUUAAAGAUUUAUCGGUGAUGGAUGGGGAUGCGUCUGAUUAGCUUGUUGGCGGGGUAACGCCACAAGGCGACGAUCAGUAGGGGUUCUGAGAGGAAGGUCCCCCANAUUGGAACUGAGACACGGUCCAAACUCCUACGGGAGGCA